CGCGGUCCUCGGUAGUGAUCCCCGGGAACGGCAGCAACGUAUGGCUGCCCCGGCCCGUGGGUCUCGAUCGACGACCGGG
Molecule: non-coding RNA, 79 nt
Organism: Arthrobacter sp. ZBG10
Lineage: Bacteria; Bacillati; Actinomycetota; Actinomycetes; Micrococcales; Micrococcaceae
Source: Rfam